AUACAGAGGGUGCAAGCGUUAAUCGGAAUUACUGGGCGUAAAGCGUACGUAGGCGGUUUGGUAAGUCAGAUGUGAAAGCCCUGAGCUCAACUUGGGAACUGCAUUUGAAACUGCCUGACUAGAGUGUGAUAGAGGAUAGUGGAAUUUCCGGUGUAGCGGUGAAAUGCGUAGAGAUCGGAAGGAACACCAGUGGCGAAGGCGGCUAUCUGGAUCAACACUGACGCUGAGGUACGAAAGCGUGGGGAGCAAACAGGAUUAGAAACCCGGGUAGUCC
This 274-nucleotide ribosomal RNA is filed under the name uncultured bacterium. RNAcentral describes it as "partial 16S ribosomal RNA". It matches the Rfam family "Bacterial small subunit ribosomal RNA", at positions 523 to 796 of the family's 1533-position model. The record is from RNAcentral.